This is a long non-coding RNA of Cannabis sativa, 452 nucleotides long. RefSeq lists it as uncharacterized. The transcript has 2 exons. The record is from RefSeq and is a predicted model, not a curated record. Lineage: Eukaryota; Viridiplantae; Streptophyta; Magnoliopsida; Rosales; Cannabaceae.
AAGUCUAUGGUAAAACAAUUGGUAAUUCAUUCUAACACUUAAUAGUUGGGGAAAGGAAGAGGACUAAUGAAAAUAGUAAUAGUUUGAACACAACACUUCUACACAGGCCCCUCUUUAUAGUGGGGGCAUUCUAUUUCUGAGAAGUUGAGUUGCAACUUUCCAGUUAGAUUAAUCACUUGACAGAAAAAUCCACAUAAAUGCUUUCCAACAUUCAAUAUAGUCCGAGUGCGAGAAGACUUGGAAAUUCUGAUCUAAUUUGCAAGACAAUGUUAACAAAAGACUUGUUUAUCUAAUAUGCUGUCAUACUGACAUCUAUUCAAAAUAAAUCCAUUUAAUCCAAAUAUAAAAGAGAGAGAUGAUAAAAGGUAUAAACUUUGUGUACCAUGUGGCGACAAGGAAGAACGGUUGUGUCUCGGGGUUCUGACAAGCAAAUCACACAUUCUUUUCCAGAA